UUGCCGUGAUAACCAUGUUAGGACAUCUUUGGAACACCCAUGACAAACAUUUCAACAGUUCUGAGCAAC
This 69-nucleotide small nucleolar RNA is filed under the name Chaetura pelagica (chimney swift). RNAcentral's name for it is "Small nucleolar RNA SNORD58". It matches the Rfam family "Small nucleolar RNA SNORD58". Rfam says of the family: snoRNA U58 is found in introns 1, 3 and 6 of the ribosomal protein RPL17 gene in humans. Lineage: Eukaryota; Metazoa; Chordata; Aves; Apodiformes; Apodidae. The record is from Rfam by way of RNAcentral.